AGCUCCAAUAGCGUAUAUUAAAGUUGUUGCAGUUAAAACGCUCGUAGUCGGAUUUCGGGGCGGGCCGACCGGUCUGCCGUUGGGUAUGCACUGGCCGGCGCGUCCUUCCUUCCGGAGACCGUGCCUUCUCUUAACUGGGCGGGUUCGGGAGACGGAACGUUUACUUUGAAAAAAUCAGAGUGUUUCAAGCAGGCAGCUCGCUCUUGCAUGGAUUAGCAUGGGAUAAUGAAAUAGGACUUUGGUGCUAUUUUGUUGGUUUCGAACACCGAAGUAAUGAUUAACAGGGACAGUCAGGGGCACUCGUAUUCCGCCGAGAGAGGUGAAAUUCUCAGACCAGCGGAAGACGAACCACUGCGAAAGCAUUUGCCAGGGAUGUUUUCACUG
Molecule: ribosomal RNA, 384 nt
Filed under: uncultured eukaryote
Lineage: Eukaryota
Description: SSU rRNA
Rfam family: Eukaryotic small subunit ribosomal RNA
Source: RNAcentral